This 339-nucleotide unclassified non-coding RNA is filed under the name soil metagenome. Its description in RNAcentral is "partial contains 5.8S ribosomal RNA, internal transcribed spacer 2, and large subunit ribosomal RNA". The stretch from base 1 to 119 matches the Rfam family "5.8S ribosomal RNA", at positions 35 to 154 of the family's 154-position model. The record is from RNAcentral.
GAUGAAGAACGUAGCGAAAUGCGAUAAGUAAUGCGAAUUGCAGAAUCCGUGAGUCAUCGAAUCUUUGAACGCACAUUGCGCCCCUUGGUAUUCCAUGGGGCAUGCCUGUUCGAGCGUCAUCUACAACCCUCAAGCCCUGCUUGGUGUUGGGCGUCUGUCCCGCCCCCGCGCGCGGACUCGCCCCAAAUCCAUCGGCGGCGGCCCUUGCCUCCCUCUCGCGCAGCACAUUGCGCUUCUCGAGGCGUCGCGGGCCGCGCUCCACGAAGCACGCAAACCAGUCUUUGACCUCGGAUCAGGUAGGGAUACCCGCUGAACUUAAGCAUAUCAAUAAGCGGAGGA